ACGAAGGAUGCAAGCGUUAUCCGGAUUCAUUGGGUUUAAAGGGAGCGUAGGUGGCCUUAUAAGUCAGUGGUGAAAUCUCUCAGCUUAACUGAGAAAUUGCCAUUGAUACUGUAGGGCUUGAGUACAGAUGCCGUUGGCGGAAUAUGACAUGUAGUGGUGAAAUACAUAGAGAUGUCAUAGAACACCGAUUGCGAAGGCAGCUGACGAAACUGUAACUGACACUGAGGCUCGAAAGUGCGGGGAUCAAACAGGA
Molecule: ribosomal RNA, 253 nt
Filed under: uncultured prokaryote
Description: partial 16S ribosomal RNA
Rfam family: Bacterial small subunit ribosomal RNA
Source: RNAcentral